RNAcentral lists this ribosomal RNA (253 nucleotides) under uncultured bacterium. RNAcentral describes it as "partial 16S ribosomal RNA". It matches the Rfam family "Bacterial small subunit ribosomal RNA", at positions 524 to 776 of the family's 1533-position model. The record is from RNAcentral.
UACGUAGGGUGCAAGCGUUAAUCGGAAUUAUUGGGCGUAAAGCGUGCGUAGACGGCUUUGUAAGUCGGAAGUGAAAGCCUGGGGCUCAACCUCAGAAUUGCUUUUGAAACUGCAUAGCUAGAGUGUGAGAGGGGAUGGCGGAAUUCCUAGUGUAGAGGUGAAAUUCGUAGAUAUUAGGAGGAACACCGGUGGCGAAGGCGGCCAUCUGGCUCACAACUGACGUUGUUGCACGAAAGCGUGGGGAGCAAACAGG